UUUUGUGUAUCUGGGUGUCUUCUGAAGAUUCUCUUCUUUGGAAAGUCCCUGUGGAAGUGUCAGCUGAAAUGAAUAACAACCGGAAACAAUAAAAAGGAGAAAGAUAAAAUCAGGAAGAGUAAGCUCUGUUUAUAGAUGUGAACAGCUUUUCCAGUAAACCACCAAAUAAAGAAUUUCUUCGAACUUGGAAAGUCUGAGAAUGGGACGGUAGGAAAAGCAAUUGGGCUCAGAAAAGCUUCAGAAUGGGAAAAAUGUAAAUAAAAAAUGGGAGAGAAAAAGAAAGGACAGAAGGGUUUCUUUUUCUCUUGAGAGCACUUGCAGAAGAAGAGAGAGGUUGAGUCAAGAUCUGCACACCGCAGACGUGGUGUUACCCACCCCCAGAGCCAAAGCAGAAAGGUAGUGCUCCUGGUGUGAGCUUUAGAGAGCUGCUGUUUGCGCCCUGUUGAAGUUUCAAAUGCAUUGCUAUAUUAAAAAUGGUUCAUUUUAUUUAGUUAAUGUUUUAUGAAAAAGAGAAGUGGCAGCAAUAAGAAUCAAAUACAAUUAUAUCUAUGUUUUAGGAAGGAAAAAUGUAGACUAUACGGCAACAUGGGCACUGUGAGCACCUAAUGCAUCAAGCUUGUUUGUAAGAAGAAAAUUAGCAUUAACUGUCGAAUAAUUCAACUAAUUCCCGUUGAAUUGAGGCUAUGAGUGGUCAUUCUGGCAUGAAGAAGGGCAACACUUCCAAUGGAGAGCUGCUGGGGAGAUGUUUUCUUGCUGUUCCAUGGAAGAAUCAUAAAAUCAAAGAAUCAUUCACGUUGGAAAAGACUUCUGAGAUCUCCAAGUCCAGCAUCAACCCACCACAUCCCUGUGGUUCUGGGGCACCUCCAGGGAUGUACCUCCUCCACCUGUGCACCACCACUCCUUCUGAGAAGAUAUUUUUUCCUAGCAUAUCCAACUGUGGAUCCCAGAUCCACAACAAAGCCCAAGGCUCUAAGGAAUUUAGGUGCAUGCAUGCAAUGGAUGUUUUCAUCCCAGAGGGCUUCUUCUAGCACCCAAAACAUGGAGGGUGGAUGGCUCUGCAGCCCUCGGUCUUGCUACACAGUGUUCUUUGCUGACAGAAGGAAGAGAGCUGGAGAUGACUGGGAGCUCUGUGCUGCCGAAAAGGAAGAGAACAGGAGAUGGAGGAGAGUUGCAUGGUGCUGAGUAAUACGGCCAGUGGUGCUGACAGGUUUGAUGUGUGCAUAGUUUGGUGGGUAUCCAGCUGAGCAGAGGAAUGAAUGUGCAUGCACGUGGCUGUUGAAUAAGCUGCUUUUUACUUGCAGGAAUGGCCUCUAUGACUGGAGAUACAGUCAGGAUGCUGGACAGUUGGAAUCCUGCAGCAAAAGGAGAACUGUGGGAGUGCGCCAGGCUUUUAUCCAUUUGUAUUUUCUCUAUUAGUAAAAGGAGCUCUCUGGUACUCUCACAGAACAGCCUCAUUGAAUUCAAGAAGAAUCAGCAGGUCGUUCUUUCCUUAAACAACAACUCGACAUCGCAAGCACAAGAAGUGCAAGACGCUGCUCGCUGGAUGGGGCCACGUAGUUUGUGUUCUGCUCUUCCCUCUGCUCACUUCUGCUUCUAAUCUAGGAGGCUUUGUUUUCCCGACAUCGUUUAAUCAAACGUAGAUCUAAUCAGUGCCAGAGCAUUAACAAGCGUGAGCCCCCGCGAUUCUCCGCAACCAUGCAAAACGUUGGAUAACAGCAACUUCCCGUGCUGCUCUUUCUGCAUCAGGUCCUGAAAUCCCCCAAUUACAUUUCGUACCAAGAAAUGAGUAAUGCUCAUUGCUAAGUCAUGUUAGCGGGGUGCUUCCAAGGCCCUGCCUCCCACUGCUGUGGUACGUGAAGCACGUGGAGAACAGAGCCAUGGCCAUGUGCAGGACUGCUGGAUUCGGGAUUUACCCCUGCUUUCCUAUUGACACCAUGGGAGGGCAUUAAUAAAAUAAUAAAUAAUGAUAAUGAAUGA
Molecule: long non-coding RNA, 1977 nt
Organism: Lagopus leucura (white-tailed ptarmigan)
Lineage: Eukaryota; Metazoa; Chordata; Aves; Galliformes; Phasianidae
Exons: 2
Source: RefSeq, a predicted model, not a curated record